CACACGACUCUCGGCAACGGAUAUCUCGGCUCUCGCAUCGAUGAAGAACGUAGCGAAAUGCGAUACCUGGUGUGAAUUGCAGAAUCCCGCGAACCAUCGAGUCUUUGAACGCAAGUUGCGCCCGAGGCCAUUCGGCCGAGGGCACGCCUGCCUGGGCAUCACGC
RNAcentral lists this ribosomal RNA (164 nucleotides) under Elymus burchan-buddae. RNAcentral describes it as "5.8S ribosomal RNA". It matches the Rfam family "5.8S ribosomal RNA". From Rfam's summary of the family: 5.8S ribosomal RNA (5.8S rRNA) is a component of the large subunit of the eukaryotic ribosome. It is transcribed by RNA polymerase I as part of the 45S precursor that also contains 18S and 28S rRNA. Functionally, it is thought that 5.8S rRNA may be involved in ribosome translocation. The record is from RNAcentral. Lineage: Eukaryota; Viridiplantae; Streptophyta; Magnoliopsida; Poales; Poaceae.